UACGUCCACCUGUCUCCCCCAUCACUCCCCUCCGUCUACUUCCACCUGUCUCCCCCAUCACUCAGAGGUCAUUCAGACCUAAACGCGUUUCUAGAUAAUUCUCUGCUCCACGUUCUCCUUUUUCUUCUCUGCUGCUGUUGUUUUUUUCCCUCCUGUUCGUUUUUAAACCUCCACCUUUCAGCCUUUCUUUUUCCAACCCCGUCUCCUCAGCGCCGCCGCUAUCUGCCUCCUCCCUCCUCGUUUCCUCCCUCCUUCACACCCUCGGGCACACGAUAAGGAACCAGCGGGAUUUAUGCUUCCUCUUCCCCUCUCCCUCCGGGAGAGAGCGCCGGACUCCCUCUGUGCGCCGGCCCGAUGGCGCCGCCUAGCGGAGAGCAAACACACGCCGGCGUUGUGUUAACACUUUGCACUUUGUGUAGAAGAUGGUGCGUACAUUUCCUUUCUUGCACAACGUCGAUCUGAUUACUGUGGAUUUUGAUCGUAUCACACAAUCUUUGUCUGGAGGUUUAAAAGUUCAGUUCUUACAUUUCCUCGAGCAAUUUAAGGAAAGGACUGAAAGAAGAGAAGUAAGAUAUCCUUCCAUUUUUUGAAGGAUAUCUUACUUCAAUUAGCAUAUAGUGUGUUGAUGCAUUUCUUACAGCUUUGUUGCGUUUAUCAAAGUACUAUUAAUGCUUUUUUAGGUGCUUUUCAACACAUUUUAGUGUCUUUUUAAGUCCGGUUCCAGUCACUAGUAAACUGUCAUUGCGAAAUCUUUUCAACUCUAAAACUGCACUCAAAUUCUAAAAAGUAAGACUCCAAAAAACAUGAAAUUCUUUUUCAAUUUCAUUUAUUAUUAUACAGCAAAACGCAGUAAAAGUACAUUUACAACACACAGAGAAAAACACACUUUGAAAUAAACACAACUCAACGUUAUAUAUUCAUAAACGCAGAGAAUCAAAGAUAAUUUACGUGCGUACAUGAAGCAUGUUGGAAAGGAAACACGCCAGUGCCACAGGGAUUAGUGCGAAGAAAAGACUGUAAUGUGUGUAAGUCCUGCAGGUGAGCUUGGGGUGAUGCGCUGCGCGUCAGCACCACGGAUAGCGGCGCUCUGCAGGGCCACAAUCCGGCUGGUUAACCAGGGUUCAGAUAAACACCAAACUCACAGGCAAAAGAACCUGUGUUGUUGUUGAGUUUAUUUGUUCGACGCGGGAGAAGCUGCUCUCAAUCAGCCUUCGUGCUGCUGGAAGCUCCUGCAGCUGAAGGAGAAGAAGAAGAAAAUCUCUCCUGGAGCUUAAGAUGACCUCAUCCAUUCCAUCACAAGGAUGAGAGGAAGCGAGCUGGGAGAGGACCAGGACCAGGACCAGGAGACGACCAGGGGACGACCAGGGGAGGACCAGGAGACGACCAGGGGAGGACCAGGAGACCAGGGGAGGACCAGGUGACGACCAGGUGACGACCAGGAGACGACCAGGGGACGGAAACAUCUGAAGCAGGUUGCACCACCAUGUUUACGCUGAUGCAACAAACUUUUUAUGAAGUGAAUUGAACACAAAAUGUGCCGAUGGUUGAAGGAAGUAAUCUGAUAAACGUUCAUUAUUCUUAUUUUUUUUAACGAGAGCCGAUGACUCAAAUGUACACGUUGAAUCCAUAAUAAAAGUUAAUCCGUGCGCACAAAUGUAGCUCAUUUCCCAGAAAUCAGUUAGUCAGUUUUCCAGAUGUAUAACUGACUCGCUCUGUCCUGACACACACACGCAUGCACAAACACACACACACACACGCACGCACGCACACAAAAAUUCCCCAGAGAAGUCUGUACCAAAUCAGAUCUAACACACACACAAUAAUCCCCAAAGCACGGAGCUACGCAUCUUUUUCAUCCUAAUCAAUAAUUACAUUACAUCAACUUACAAAAUAAUGGCCUCCAAAUUAAUUUAACUUUAUAAAAAGAGUGAAAUAAUGAAGGGAUUCAAUUACAAUUAUUAUGAUUUAUUUUAACUAAGGGAAGCAGCACAGGAGAGAAAAAGAACAAAGUGACAGAAAUAAACAAAGGAAGAAAACAGCAUUUUUGUUCUAACCCUGAAAAAAAGGCAAUGAAAGAGAAUAAGUGAGAGACACACACACACACACACACACACAGUUGGUGUUUCUAUAACCUUUGACCCCUCAGGCCCAUCAAUAACCAGGAGGCGAGGAGAAGUGUGUGUGCUGUCUCAUUCGUCUUCAUUAGACACUGUGUGUGUGUGUGUGUGUGUGUGUGUGCGCCCGAUGUCUUGCACACAUAGUCGAAGUGAAUACACACACGUGAGAUUUAUUAAGCGUUCGAUAAAGUAAUAAAACAAAGUUUUGCCAUC
This is an RNA transcript of Gasterosteus aculeatus aculeatus (three-spined stickleback), 2330 nucleotides long. RefSeq lists it as uncharacterized. NCBI's taxonomy places the organism in Eukaryota, Metazoa, Chordata, Actinopteri, Perciformes, Gasterosteidae. The record is from RefSeq and is a predicted model, not a curated record.